AACGCAAAUUGCACUCUCUGGUAUUCCGGGGAGUAUGCCUGUUUGAGGGUCGCUUAAUAAACAUCGAUUUCAUCGUUUUUUUUUUAAAAGUGAUGUUUAUCGGAUUUGAGCCGUCUUUUUUUAUAUAUGUAUAAUAUAUUUAAAAAGUGGCUUAAAAUUGAUUUUUCUGGUAUGAUCGAAGCGUAUUUUAUGAUCAAUUUUUGGUUAAAGAAACGCACGCGUACCUAUCAUUCAUAUGAUGUAAUACGUUUGACUAUUGGAUUUGGUUCAUUCGUAUACGAUAUUUUUCAAAUUUUGACCUCAAAUCAGGUAAGAACACCCGCUGAACUUAA
This 332-nucleotide unclassified non-coding RNA is filed under the name uncultured Glomeraceae. RNAcentral's name for it is "sequence contains ITS2". The stretch from base 1 to 52 matches the Rfam family "5.8S ribosomal RNA", at positions 103 to 154 of the family's 154-position model. Lineage: Eukaryota; Fungi; Glomeromycota; Glomeromycetes; Glomerales; Glomeraceae. The record is from RNAcentral.